UGUUCCCAUUUAGAUCAAGCUAUUGUCCUCUAAUAACACAAGCACACCCCAUGUGGCAGGGCAGGCUUCUAUUCACUCUAUUGCUGAGCUCUGAUUCGUUCAGACUGUGGGAACCUACUUCCAGACUAAGACCCACACAUCGGGAUGGAGAUGGGGGACUAUAAAUAAGAGUGCUGUGUUGUAUUUUACAACAAGCCAACAGAGAGCAGAAUGUCUCUAGAAGAACUCUACUUCAAAGACAUCCAACCAUGGGACCUAUAAUCACUGCAGCAACGACCAUCUCUUAGGAGCACCUUACUCUGAAUAACAAGUUCAGAAAGACUCUUGCAGAGAAGCAGCACAGAGAUUAAA
Long non-coding RNA from Cyprinodon tularosa, 351 nucleotides. RefSeq lists it as uncharacterized. The record is from RefSeq and is a predicted model, not a curated record. The transcript is spliced from 2 exons. Lineage: Eukaryota; Metazoa; Chordata; Actinopteri; Cyprinodontiformes; Cyprinodontidae.